This 655-nucleotide ribosomal RNA is filed under the name uncultured bacterium. RNAcentral's name for it is "bacterial SSU rRNA". It matches the Rfam family "Bacterial small subunit ribosomal RNA", at positions 8 to 699 of the family's 1533-position model. The record is from RNAcentral.
AGAGUUUGAUCAUGGCUCAGAACGAACGCUGGCGGCAGGCCUAACACAUGCAAGUCGAACGAGAAGCCACCUUCGGGUGGUGGACAGUGGCAGACGGGUGAGUAACGCGUGGGAACGUGCCUUUCGGUUCGGAAUAACCCAGGGAAACUUGGGCUAAUACCGGAUACGCCCUUCGGGGGAAAGAUUCAUUGCCGAAAGAUCGGCCCGCGUCGGAUUAGCUAGUUGGUGGGGUAAUGGCUCACCAAGGCGACGAUCCGUAGCUGGUCUGAGAGGAUGACCAGCCACACUGGGACUGAGACACGGCCCAGACUCCUACGGGAGGCAGCAGUGGGGAAUAUUGGACAAUGGGCGAAAGCCUGAUCCAGCCAUGCCGCGUGGGUGAAGAAGGCCUUAGGGUUGUAAACCCCUUUCAGCGGGGAAGAUAAUGACGGUACCCGCAGAAGAAGUCCCGGCUAACUCCGUGCCAGCAGCCGCGGUAAUACGGAGGGGACUAGCGUUGUUCGGAAUUACUGGGCGUAAAGCGCACGUAGGCGGAUUUGUAAGUCAGGGGUGAAAUCCCGGGGCUCAACCUCGGAACUGCCUUUGAUACUGCAAAUCUCGAGUCCGGAAGAGGUGAGUGGAAUUCCUAGUGUAGAGGUGAAAUUCGUAGAUAUUA